UGGUUGACGCCGUUGUUCCUGGUUUCGGGGUUGGGCCGACGCUCUGCGCUGCUUUCCCUCAGUGAGUGAGAAGGCUGAAGAGGUGCUGUGGAAGAAAAAAAAAUCGACCAACAAAAGGGGAGGUAAAAAGAUUUAUACAGAGGCGCUGUAUUAAGGAAAAUAAAAGAGCCAAACACGGUGUUGUAGAUGUUAGACUUGUUCUCGCGGAUAAGACUGAAUAUAACCUCCAGUACCUGCAAACUGCUGGGUUUCUGUGGGCAGUUACUGUAUAUUUCACACUGUUUAGUGAAGACGAAAGAAUGCAGAGGUCACAUGUGCUUUGAGGAUGAAGGGAAAACAACUUCAUUGUAGAAGACAAAUGCCCAGUUUUUCACUUGUACUGAAAAGAAUAUUACUACUUUUUCUUGAGCUGGAAGACAACAGUAGACUUAAACCAUUCGGAGGACACACAAGGAAUUACCCAAUUUUAGGAAGUUUCCAGUCUUAAAGACUUGGGUAUAAAUAUGAAUAUCACCACAGUACACCCACCUGUUGACAAUGGAGAUGUGGCCAUCAGCUACAUCUUGGUGCCUUUUUUGCUAAUCACUUUUUUUGGAAUAGCUGCAGCUGGGGUGAUGUAUGUGCAGAAGAGAAGAAGGGUGGAUCGAUUAAGACAUCAACUUCUUCCAGUUUACAGCUAUGACCCCUCUGAAGAACUUAUUGAAGCAGAGCAAGAGUUUAUGUGGAGGGAUGAAGAUACAAAGGUGGUACAAGGCUGGGGAAGAAGACAACAGCGUCGCCCUUUACUUGCAAAGGAAGUUCCUGCCUGACAAACUUGAUUUGAUCAGGUGUACAGUAGAACACCUGUCAUGAAUUAACAGGUUUUGUUGAUUUGAAUAGCACAGCUUUCAAACCCUCCUUUUUCUUUUAUUUAUAUAAUUUUUUUCAUUUUCAUAAUGGGAAAUUACAUAGCCAAUUGAAAUAAAUUAUCAGAUCAUACCCUCUAUCCAUAUCACACAUAAUGUUUUACCUUUCUGUCUUUCUGAAGAAAAUAAUUUAAUAUUUGUACAAGUAUUCAUUUUUAGUUAAAUCAGUAUUUCUGUGUGUUCUUUCUAUUUAUUUUAAAAAUAACUGUGCUUAAUAAUCAUAUACAAAAUGGUUUAUAGUUUGAAUUGAUAGGGGGAAGCUUUUCCAGAAUUCAAGCCUAAAUCAGAAGAAUGUGUUGAGAAUAUAUAGAUGUUUCAACCACCCCAACAUAAAGGAACUAUUUCAAUUGACACUUGCCAAGUCAUAUGAAGUCAGGAUGAUGCAGGUGCCAGAGUGAGUGUACUUCAAAUCACUGCCAAGAUGCACAAUCCAAAAACUACAGUAAUGCUGAAGCAAGUAAUAGAGGAAACAAAUAGCAUGCACUGGUUAGUAUGAUUAGUUUUGCUCUCCGGAAUUCCAGAAUGUAUUGUAUUCUGAAUUUAGAUAUUUUUUUUCUAGGAAAUGCACAUAAGUUGGCCCCCUGAAAUUAUUUAAAAAAAAAUUUCCCAAAAUGUAAUCUGCUCUAAUAUUGAAAAUAUGCAAGACAAAAAUUGAAUAAUAUUAGGUGAAACAAGAGGAACAUGCUUUUUUUUUUUUUUUUUUGCAUUUUUCUUUCAUGAAGAUAUUGGAAAGGUAGUGCAAAUAAAAUACUGUAUACGUAUCCGCGCCAUUGAAUGCUCUGGACUCAGCUAACUUAAUACUACUGUAUGCCUACACAGACUAUGUAAGACUGCUUUGUGAUACUCCCACUGCCCUUAGCCUUCUUUUUAGCUGAUUUGAUGUUAUUACUGUAUCUAAGCUACUUCUUCCAUGAAUUUGGAAAUGCAGGGAUGUGUACUUUAUUAUAUACCAACAUGCUUAAAACUGCCUGUGGUGACUGCAACAAGCAAAAAGGGGGAAUGGCUAAAAUAAAACCAAUAGACUUUUCUAACUAGGAGUAUACUAGUCGCUUGAAGUAGUAGAGGAAUUUAGAGGCAAAUGUUUCAUCCUCUCUCGUAAAAUUGUGCUAUGUAGAUAGUAAAGAAAUACAGAAUAAAAUCAAGAUAAAAAGUAAAUGGUGCAAGCACUUUGUCCCUAGUUCCAUUAUAAAUAAUCUUAUAACUGAUCAGUACAAAACAGGCAUUCUAGUCAGUAAUUAAUGGCAAAGUGUAAAAGAGAAAUGGGAAAUUGUUUUCAAAAACUAAUUCACAAACAUUGCAUAUAUAUAUAUAUACAGUGCAUUCAGAAAGUUUUCAGACCUCUUUACUUCCUGCACCUUUUAGUUUGUUCUCAAUGAACCAUAAUGACAAAGUGAAAACAUGUUUUCAGAAAGGUGUGCAAAUGUAUUAAAAAUCAAAACACUGAAAUCUCUCAUUUAUGUAAGUAUUCAGACUUUUGGCUGUGGCAAUCCAAAUUGUGAUCAGGCGCAUCCGGUUUGCUUUAAUUAUCCUUGAGACAUGUUUAGUACUUAAUUGGACUCCCAUCUGCAGCAAAAUGAAUUGACUGAACAUGGUUUAGAAAGGCGCACACACCCAUUUGUAUAAGGUCCCACACCUCACGCUGCAUGUCAGAACAAAAACCAAGCCUUAAGGAACUUUCUGUAGACAUCGGCAAUAGAAUAUCUGUAGUUACUAUGAUAAUUGUAAAUUGGUCGUGUGUGUACGUUUGAAUACACAUGUAAAGGAGUGUGCUCUGUGACGGAAUGACUUCAUGUCCAGGGAGGGGUCUUGCUUUGUGCAAAAUGCAGGAGCACACAGGCUGUAGCCAGAUAUGAUCCUGGAGUUCAGAAGUGGAUUUCAGAAAGAUCUGAACACAAAUGCUGAUAGGCUGCUUAGAAUUUUAGGUGUUUGAAAACCAUGCAUAUUAUAACAGUAUCAUGACUAGGCCUGGGUAAAAAUAUUGAUUUUCUGGUUAAUCAUUAUUUUUCAUUUAAGUGAUUCAGUAUCGUUUCUUAAAGUCCCAAGAUCAAUCGUGAAUUUCUGUCCUGCUCAGUUACUAUAUGCAGAUUUUUGCUUAUCAAUGUUUUUGCCUUCCAAUCCAGGAGAUUGUACUAAUGCGCCUGUUAAGGCUUUCUACUGAAAAAGCAUUUUACUACUUUAUAUAAAAUGUUGUGUCCUGAAAUCAGUGUCUUACACACUUAAAUCAGAUGUGUGGACUUAAUACGGAUUAAAAUGAUGCAUUAGUAUAGAACAACUGGAUAAAAGCAAAGCAUUAUCUAAGCUGUGCAACUCAGAAGUUAAUUAUUGUUGUAACACGACAAAUAUGAGAAAUCACCUAUCUCGACAUUACCCAAAAACAUCACAGUCGACAUCCAAAUUAGAUUAUUGCCUAAACAAUUUGCAUUGGAGACAGUGUUUAGCUCCACCCUUCUGUUUGUUAUUUUUUGGGCAUGAGGUAAAUUAAUCUAUAGCAGUUUUUAUCUGUAAAUAUGACACCCUAUAAUGGACCUCACUCCGGCAAGUGGCCAAUUCUUAGAAUUUUUAGAGCAGCCUGUGAUUUUAAACUGACCGUGUGCUCAAAGCAUCCGCCUUGAAAUAGCUCCAUAAUAGCUGCAUUAUCAGCAAAAAUGACUAGUUCUUUUUCUUUUAU
Molecule: RNA transcript, 3573 nt
Organism: Polypterus senegalus (gray bichir)
Lineage: Eukaryota; Metazoa; Chordata; Cladistia; Polypteriformes; Polypteridae
Gene: smim29
Gene name: small integral membrane protein 29
Exons: 6
Source: RefSeq, a predicted model, not a curated record